Molecule: ribosomal RNA, 520 nt
Filed under: uncultured archaeon
Lineage: Archaea
Description: bacterial SSU rRNA
Rfam family: Archaeal small subunit ribosomal RNA
Source: RNAcentral
ACGGGGUGCAGCAGGCGCGAAAACUUGUCAAUGCGGGAAACCGCGAACAGGGGAGUCCAAGUGCUUGCACUUUGUGUAAGCUGUUCGGUUGUCUAAAAAACAGCCGAAGGAAGGGCUGGGUAAGACAGGUGCCAGCCGCCGCGGUAAUACCUGCAGCCCGAGUGGUGAUCGAUUUUAUUGAGCCUAAAGCGUCCGUAGCCGGACUAGUAAACCCUUGGGUAAAUUGGGCAGCUUAACUGUCCAAAUUCCGAGGGGACUGCUAGUCUUGGGACCGGGAGAGGUCAGAGGUACUCCAGGGGUAGGGGCUAAAUCCUGUAAUCCUUGGGGGACCACCAGUGGCGAAGGCGUCUGACUAGAACGGAUCCGACGGUAAGGGACGAAACCCUGGGGCGCGAACCGGAUUAGAUACCCGGGUAGUCCAGGGCGUAAACGCUGCAGGCUUGGUGUUGGGGACCCUACGAGGGUGCCCAGUGCCGGAGUGAAGAUGUUAAGCCUGCCGCUUGGGAGUACGUCCGCAAGG